ACGCACGCUGGCGGCGUGCUUAACCCAUGCAAGUCGCACGGAAAGGCCUCAGCUUGCUGGGGUACUCGAGUGGCGAACGGGUGAGUAACACGUGGGUGAUCUGCCUUGCACUCUGGGAUAAGCUUGGGAAACUGGGUCUAAUACCGGAUAUGAACUGCCUUUAGUGUGGUGGUUGGAAAGUUUUUUCGGUGCAAGAUGAGCUCGCGGCCUAUCAGCUUGUUGGUGGGGUAAUGGCCUACCAAGGCGUCGACGGGUAGCCGGCCUGAGAGGGUGUACGGCCACAUUGGGACUGAGAUACGGCCCAGACUCCUACGGGAGGCAGCAGUGGGGAAUAUUGCACAAUGGGCGGAAGCCUGAUGCAGCGACGCCGCGUGGGGGAGGACGGCCUUCGGGUUGUAAACUCCUUUCGACAGGGACGAAGCUUUUUGUGACGGUACCUGUAGAAGAAGCACCGGCUAACUACGUG
Molecule: ribosomal RNA, 466 nt
Filed under: uncultured bacterium
Lineage: Bacteria
Description: partial 16S ribosomal RNA
Rfam family: Bacterial small subunit ribosomal RNA
Source: RNAcentral